Molecule: ribosomal RNA, 787 nt
Filed under: uncultured bacterium
Lineage: Bacteria
Description: bacterial SSU rRNA
Rfam family: Bacterial small subunit ribosomal RNA
Source: RNAcentral
GUGGCGAACGGGUGAGUAAUGCAUCGGAACGUGCCCAGUCGUGGGGGAUAACGCAGCGAAAGCUGCGCUAAUACCGCAUACGAUCUGUGGAUGAAAGCGGGGGACCGUAAGGCCUCGCGCGAUUGGAGCGGCCGAUGUCAGAUUAGGUAGUUGGUGGGGUAAAGGCUCACCAAGCCAACGAUCUGUAGCUGGUCUGAGAGGACGACCAGCCACACUGGAACUGAGACACGGUCCAGACUCCUACGGGAGGCAGCAGUGGGGAAUUUUGGACAAUGGGCGCAAGCCUGAUCCAGCAAUGCCGCGUGCAGGAAGAAGGCCUUCGGGUUGUAAACUGCUUUUGUACGGAACGAAACGGUCUGAGUUAAUACCUCGGGCUAAUGACGGUACCGUAAGAAUAAGCACCGGCUAACUACGUGCCAGCAGUCGCGGUAAUACGUAGGGUGCAAGCGUUAAUCGGAAUUACUGGGCGUAAAGCGUGCGCAGGCGGUGAUGUAAGACAGUCGUGAAAUCCCCGGGCUCAACCUGGGAAUUGCGAUUGUGACUGCAUCGCUGGAGUGCGGCAGAGGGGGAUGGAAUUCCGCGUGUAGCAGUGAAAUGCGUAGAUAUGCGGAGGAACACCGAUGGCGAAGGCAAUCCCCUGGGCCUGCACUGACGCUCAUGCACGAAAGCGUGGGGAGCAAACAGGAUUAGAUACCCUGGUAGUCCACGCCCUAAACGAUGUCAACUGGGUUGUUGGGUCUCUUCUGACUCAGUAACGAAGCUAACGCGUGAAGUUGACCGCCUGGGG